GCUUUAUCCGAACUCCUUGAUCCGAUCUCUUUUAAUUGAUCGCUCGGGAUCCGAGCUUAUCUUGAUUCCCGAUCUAUUAUAUUAUCACUUGGGCUUGUUCCUUGGCCCGACCUCACAAAUUAUUUGUUUGACCUAUUCUUGUUUCCAACCUGCCUGACCCAUGCUACACCUAUCUUCCUUUGUCAUUUUUAUUUUUUUUUGACUGAAAGUUUUCAUGUCGAAAUACCCCUGCUUAUAUUCUUU
This 243-nucleotide unclassified non-coding RNA is filed under the name Hevea brasiliensis (rubber tree). The record is from RNAcentral. Lineage: Eukaryota; Viridiplantae; Streptophyta; Magnoliopsida; Malpighiales; Euphorbiaceae.